AGAGGUUCACGUGCACAUUUAUGGGAGACUGGGCUUGUGAGAUCCAUUGUUACGCCCUGAACAGACAAGGGGGCUGGUGUGACAGUCGUAACGUCUGCAACUGCAGACAGGAGAUAAUCCUAUGAACUUCCCGAAGACCAGGAGACUCACAUCCUUCAGAUGCAACUUAUGUGUCAGGUGGGGGGAAAAUUUGAGUGAUGAUCCUGUGUAUUUUUAUCAUUGAACUCUUUUUUGCUUUAAUAACAUUUCAAUUUAUAACAUUUUUUUUCAAAUACACUUUAACAAAACUAUGUCAACUCUGCCAAUAAUACAGUUUGAAUAAAUGAUCUUUUU
This is a long non-coding RNA of Mya arenaria, 333 nucleotides long. RefSeq lists it as uncharacterized. The transcript is spliced from 2 exons. The record is from RefSeq and is a predicted model, not a curated record. NCBI's taxonomy places the organism in Eukaryota, Metazoa, Mollusca, Bivalvia, Myida, Myidae.